AUUGAACGCUGGCGGCAGGCCUAACACAUGCAAGUCGAGCGAGCGGCGGACGGGGGAGUAAUGUCUGGGAAACUGCCUGAUGGAGGGGGAUAACUACUGGAAAAGGUAGCUAAUACCGCAUACCAUCAGAUGUGCCCAGAUGGGGUUAGCUAGUAGGUGGGGUAACGGCUCACCUAGGCGACGAUCCCUAUCUGUGCUGAGAGGAUGACCAGCCACACUGGAACUGAGACACGGUCCAGACUCCUACGGGAGGCAGCAGUGGGGAAUAUUGCACAAGGGGGGCAAGCCUGAUGCAGCCAUGCGGCGUGUGUGAAGAAGGCCUUCGGGUUGGAAAGCACGUUCAGCGGGGAGGCGUUACCCGCAGAAGAAGCACCGGCUAACUCCGUGCCAGCAGCCGCGGUAAUUC
RNAcentral lists this ribosomal RNA (406 nucleotides) under uncultured bacterium. Its description in RNAcentral is "partial 16S ribosomal RNA". It matches the Rfam family "Bacterial small subunit ribosomal RNA", at positions 29 to 526 of the family's 1533-position model. The record is from RNAcentral.